Ornithorhynchus anatinus (platypus) is the source of this 138-nucleotide small nucleolar RNA. The record is from RefSeq and is a predicted model, not a curated record. Lineage: Eukaryota; Metazoa; Chordata; Mammalia; Monotremata; Ornithorhynchidae.
ACCCUCUCAGGAUCACUCCUGGGGAGUUUCUAGUACUCUACCAGUCUCGGCUUCCAGAGGGAGAGUCAAGCAGAGGCCUACCCAUUCCAUUCCUAGCUUGGGCAGUGGCUAGUGAGUGGAAGGCAAUCUCCUACAAGC